Molecule: ribosomal RNA, 500 nt
Filed under: uncultured bacterium
Lineage: Bacteria
Description: partial 16S ribosomal RNA
Rfam family: Bacterial small subunit ribosomal RNA
Source: RNAcentral
AUUGAACGCUGGCGGAAUGCUUUACACAUGCAAGUCGAACGGCAGCACGGACUUCGGUCUGGUGGCGAGUGGCGAACGGGUGAGUAAUGUAUCGGAACGUGCCCAGUCGUGGGGGAUAACGUAGUGAAAAUUACGCUAAUACCGCAUACGAUCUAUGGAUGAAAGCGGGGGAUCGCAAGACCUCGCGCGAUUGGAGCGGCCGAUAUCAGAUUAGGUAGUUGGUGGGGUAAAGGCCCACCAAGCCAACGAUCUGUAGCUGGUCUGAGAGGACGACCGGCCACACUGGAACUGAGACACGGUCCAGACUCCUACGGGAGGCAGCAGUGGGGAAUUUUGGACAAUGGGCGAAAGCCUGAUCCAGCCAUUCCGCGUGCAGGAUGAAGGCCCUCGGGUUGUAAACUGCUUUUGUACAGAACAAAAAGGUUUCUACUAAUACUAGGAGCUCAUGACGGUACUGUAAGAAUAAGCACCGGCUAACUACGUGCCAGCCGCCGCAGUAA